CCUGGCGGCCGUAGCGCGGUGGUCCCACCUGACCCCAUGCCGAACUCAGAAGUGAAACGCCGUAGCGCCGAUGGUAGUGUGGGGUCUCCCCAUGCGAGAGUAGGGAACUGCCAG
RNAcentral lists this ribosomal RNA (114 nucleotides) under Acinetobacter baumannii. Lineage: Bacteria; Pseudomonadati; Pseudomonadota; Gammaproteobacteria; Moraxellales; Moraxellaceae. The record is from RNAcentral. RNAcentral also lists the same sequence under 36 other names.